RNAcentral lists this ribosomal RNA (466 nucleotides) under uncultured bacterium. RNAcentral's name for it is "bacterial SSU rRNA". It matches the Rfam family "Bacterial small subunit ribosomal RNA", at positions 28 to 491 of the family's 1533-position model. The record is from RNAcentral.
GAUGAACGCUAGCGGCAGGCUUAAUACAUGCAAGUCGAACGGUAACAGGUCUUCGGACGCUGACGAGUGGCGCACGGGUGAGGAACACGUACACAAUCUACCUUAUACUGGAGAAUAGCCCCGGGAAACUGGGAUUAAUACUCCAUAGUUUUUAAUGAUCACAUGAGAAAUAAAGUAAAGCUUCGGCGGUAUAAGAUGAGUGUGCGUCCCAUUAGAUUGUUGGUGAGGUAACGGCUCACCAAGUCGACGAUGGGUAGCUGGCGUGAGAGCGCGACCAGCCACACUGGCACUGAGACACGGGCCAGACUCCUACGGGAGGCAGCAGUAGGGAAUAUUGGUCAAUGGACGAAAGUCUGAACCAGCCAUGCCGCGUGGAGGAUGGACUGCCCUCUGGGUUGUAAACUCCUUUUAUAUGGGAAGAAACCUCUGGAUUCACUCCAGAGCUGACGGUAUCAUAUGAAUAAGC